CACUAUCGUUAACUGAAUACAUAGGUUAACGAGGCGAACCGGGGGAACUGAAACAUCUAAGUACCCCGAGGAAAAGAAAUCAACCGAGAUUCCCCCAGUAGCGGCGAGCGAACGGGGAGCAGCCCAGAGUCUGAAUCAGCUUGUGUGUUAGUGGAACGGUCUGGAAAGUCCGACGGUACAGGGUGAUAGUCCCGUACACCAAAAUGCACAGGCUGUGAACUCGAAGAGUAGGGCGGGACACGUGGUAUCCUGUCUGAAUAUGGGGGGACCAUCCUCCAAGGCUAAAUACUCCUGACUGACCGAUAGUGAACCAGUACCGUGAGGGAAAGGCGAAAAGAACCCCGGCGAGGGGAGUGAAAAAGAACCUGAAACCGUGUACGUACAAGCAGUGGGAGCACCUUCGGGUGUGACUGCGUACCUUUUGUAUAAUGGGUCAGCGACUUAUAUUCUGUAGCAAGGUUAACCGUAUAGGGGAGCCGCAGGGAAACCGAGUCUUAACUGGGCGUUAAGUUGCAGGGUAUAGACCCGAAACCCGGUGAUCUAGCCAUGGGCAGGUUGAAGGUUGGGUAACACUAACUGGAGGACCGAACCGACUAAUGUUGAAAAAUUAGCGGAUGACUUGUGGCUGGGGGUGAAAGGCCAAUCAAACCGGGAGAUAGCUGGUUCUCCCCGAAAGCUAUUUAGGUAGCGCCUCGUGAACUCAUCUUCGGGGGUAGAGCACUGUUUCGGCUAGGGGGUCAUCCCGACUUACCAACCCGAUGCAAACUACGAAUACCGAAGAAUGUUAUCACGGGAGACACACGGCGGGUGCUAACGUCCGUCGUGAAGAGGGAAACAACCCAGACCGCCAGCUAAGGUCCCAAAGUCAUGGUUAAGUGGGAAACGAUGUGGGAAGGCACAGACAGCCAGGAUGUUGGCUUAGAAGCAGCCAUCAUUUAAAGAAAGCGUAAUAGCUCACUGGUCGAGUCGGCCUGCGCGGAAGAUGUAACGGGGCUAAACCAUGCACCGAAGCUGCGGCAGCGACACUAUGUGUUGUUGGGUAGGGGAGCGUUCUGUAAGCCUGCGAAGGUGUGCUGUGAGGCAUGCUGGAGGUAUCAGAAGUGCGAAUGCUGACAUAAGUAACGAUAAAGCGGGUGAAAAGCCCGCUCGCCGGAAGACCAAGGGUUCCUGUCCAACGUUAAUCGGGGCAGGGUGAGUCGACCCCUAAGGCGAGGCCGAAAGGCGUAGUCGAUGGGAAACAGGUUAAUAUUCCUGUACUUGGUGUUACUGCGAAGGGGGGACGGAGAAGGCUAUGUUAGCCGGGCGACGGUUGUCCCGGUUUAAGCAUGUAGGCUGAUUGUCCAGGCAAAUCCGGAUAAUCAAGGCUGAGGUGUGAUGACGAGGCACUACGGUGCUGAAGUAACAAAUGCCCUGCUUCCAGGAAAAGCCUCUAAGCAUCAGGUAACAUUAAAUCGUACCCCAAACCGACACAGGUGGUCAGGUAGAGAAUACCAAGGCGCUUGAGAGAACUCGGGUGAAGGAACUAGGCAAAAUGGUGCCGUAACUUCGGGAGAAGGCACGCUGGUGUGUAGGUGAAGUCCCUGCGGAUGGAGCUGAGACCAGUCGAAGAUACCAGCUGGCUGCAACUGUUUAUUAAAAACACAGCACUGUGCAAACACGAAAGUGGACGUAUACGGUGUGACGCCUGCCCGGUGCCGGAAGGUUAAUUGAUGGGGUUAUCCGUAAGGAGAAGCUCUUGAUCGAAGCCCCGGUAAACGGCGGCCGUAACUAUAACGGUCCUAAGGUAGCGAAAUUCCUUGUCGGGUAAGUUCCGACCUGCACGAAUGGCGUAAUGAUGGCCAGGCUGUCUCCACCCGAGACUCAGUGAAAUUGAACUCGCUGUGAAGAUGCAGUGUACCCGCGGCAAGACGGAAAGACCCCGUGAACCUUUACUAUAGCUUGACACUGAACAUUGAGCCUUGAUGUGUAGGAUAGGUGGGAGGCUUUGAAGCGUGGACGCCAGUCUGCGUGGAGCCAACCUUGAAAUACCACCCUUUAAUGUUUGAUGUUCUAACGUUGGCCCCUGACCGGGGUUGCGGACAGUGUCUGGUGGGUAGUUUGACUGGGGCGGUCUCCUCCCAAAGCGUAACGGAGGAGCACGAAGGUUAGCUAAUCCUGGUCGGACAUCAGGAGGUUAGUGCAAUGGCAUAAGCUAGCUUGACUGCGAGCGUGACGGCGCGAGCAGGUGCGAAAGCAGGUCAUAGUGAUCCGGUGGUUCUGAAUGGAAGGGCCAUCGCUCAACGGAUAAAAGGUACUCCGGGGAUAACAGGCUGAUACCGCCCAAGAGUUCAUAUCGACGGCGGUGUUUGGCACCUCGAUGUCGGCUCAUCACAUCCUGGGGCUGAAGUAGGUCCCAAGGGUAUGGCUGUUCGCCAUUUAAAGUGGUACGCGAGCUGGGUUUAGAACGUCGUGAGACAGUUCGGUCCCUAUCUGCCGUGGGCGCUGGAGAAUUGAGGGGGGCUGCUCCUAGUACGAGAGGACCGGAGUGGACGCAUCACUGGUGUUCGGGUUGUCAUGCCAAUGGCACUGCCCGGUAGCUAAAUGCGGAAGAGAUAAGUGCUGAAAGCAUCUAAGCACGAAACUUGCCCCGAGAUGAGUUCUCCCUGAGACUUUAAGUCUCCUGAAGGAACGUUGAAGACGACGACGUUGAUAGGCCGGGUGUGUAAGCGCAGCGAUGCGUUGAGCUAACCGGUACUAAUGAACCGUGAGGCUUAACCUU
This 2758-nucleotide ribosomal RNA is filed under the name Klebsiella pneumoniae. RNAcentral's name for it is "bacterial LSU rRNA". It matches the Rfam family "Bacterial large subunit ribosomal RNA". The record is from RNAcentral. Lineage: Bacteria; Pseudomonadati; Pseudomonadota; Gammaproteobacteria; Enterobacterales; Enterobacteriaceae.